Molecule: long non-coding RNA, 229 nt
Filed under: Elaeis guineensis (African oil palm)
Lineage: Eukaryota; Viridiplantae; Streptophyta; Magnoliopsida; Arecales; Arecaceae
Description: long non-coding RNA (EGUI_LNC080713)
Source: RNAcentral
AUAAUAAUGAGGUUUAUCCUUACACAAUUCAGGUUAGAUUUCUUUUGCUUCUAAAUAAACCUCUAUCCUUGAAUAAUUUUAGUUAGACUGAACAUCCAAAUUUUAGUUGGAUUUUUUUACCUAAAAUAGACAUAUAUGAUAGAAAUAAUCUAGAAAAGCUAAAACUCUUCAAAAAGUAGAUCUUGAUUUUUGUAUCAACUCUGCUUUCUAUUGUUUCACCAGAUUUUUC